UGGAACCGUGCACCAUCUGCUGCCACCAAUUACUCAUUCAAUGGAAAUUAAGGAAUUUUGUCUUCCAAAUGAAACAUGAACUUUUCUAAUUGAACCACCAAGGUCUCCACGUCCCUGCAGCAUUACCGUGGCUUCCUAAGAGAGUUAAAAUCCAUUUCUUCACUCCAAUUGAAACUUCCAAGAAAGCACUGGACCCCACCAUAAGUCAUCCUUAAAAAUCUCUAUCACCAUUGACCAUCCUAUGCUCACCUACUCACUUUGUAAAAAUGGAAUUUCGGUUCUCUCUCUCUC
This 291-nucleotide long non-coding RNA is filed under the name Vigna radiata. Its description in RNAcentral is "long non-coding RNA (VRAD_LNC016818)". The record is from RNAcentral. Lineage: Eukaryota; Viridiplantae; Streptophyta; Magnoliopsida; Fabales; Fabaceae.